GAUGAACGCUGGCGGCGUGCCUAAUACAUGCAAGUCGAGCGAACAGAUGAGGAGCUUGCUCCUCUGACGUUAGCGGCGGACGGGUGAGUAACACGUGGAUAACCUACCUAUAAGACUGGGAUAACUUCGGGAAACCGGAGCUAAUACCGGAUAAUAUAUUGAACCGCAUGGUUCAAUAGUGAAAGACGGUUUUGCUGUCACUUAUAGAUGGAUCCGCGCCGCAUUAGCUAGUUGGUAAGGUAACGGCUUACCAAGGCAACGAUGCGUAGCCGACCUGGGAGGUUGUUCGGCCACACUGGAACUGAGACACGGUCCAGACUCCUACGGGAGGCAGCAGUAGGGAAUCUUCCGCAAUGGGCGAAAGCCUGACGGAGCAACGCCGCGUGAGUGAUGAAGUUCUUCGGAUCGUAAAACUCUGUUAUUAGGGAAGAACAAAUGUGUAAGUAACUAUGCACGUCUUGACGGUACCUAAUCAGAAAGCCACGGCUAACUACGUG
This 497-nucleotide ribosomal RNA is filed under the name uncultured bacterium. Its description in RNAcentral is "partial 16S ribosomal RNA". It matches the Rfam family "Bacterial small subunit ribosomal RNA", at positions 28 to 507 of the family's 1533-position model. The record is from RNAcentral.